RNAcentral lists this transfer RNA (80 nucleotides) under Prasiolopsis wulf-kochii. Its description in RNAcentral is "tRNA-Leu". It matches the Rfam family "tRNA". Rfam says of the family: Transfer RNA (tRNA) molecules are approximately 80 nucleotides in length. Their secondary structure includes four short double-helical elements and three loops (D, anti-codon, and T loops). Lineage: Eukaryota; Viridiplantae; Chlorophyta; Trebouxiophyceae; Prasiolales; Prasiolaceae. The record is from RNAcentral.
GGGGAUAUGGCGAAAUUGGUAGACGCUGCGAAUUCAAAAUUCGUUGGUUAACCGUGAGGGUUCAAAUCCCUCUAUCCCUA